UACAGAGGUCUCAAGCGUUGUUCGGAUUCAUUGGGCGUAAAGGGUGCGUAGGUGGCGCCGUAAGUCGGGUGUGAAAUUUCGGAGCUUAACUCCGAAACUGCAUUCGAUACUGCGGUGCUUGAGGACUGGAGAGGAGACUGGAAUUCAUGGUGUAGCAGUGAAAUGCUAGAGAUCAUGAGGAAGACCAGUGGCGAAGGCGGGUCUCUGGACAAGUUCCUGACACUGAGGCACGAAGGCCAGGGGAGCAAACGGG
Molecule: ribosomal RNA, 253 nt
Filed under: uncultured bacterium
Lineage: Bacteria
Description: partial 16S ribosomal RNA
Rfam family: Bacterial small subunit ribosomal RNA
Source: RNAcentral